ACGCUCGACACCUACGAGAGGCAGCAGUGGGGAAUAUUGCACAAUGGGGGAAACCCUGAUGCAGCGACGCCGCGUGAGCGAAGAAGUAUCUCGGUAUGUAAAGCUCUAUCAGCAGGGAAGAAGAUGACGGUACCUGACUAAGAAGCACCGGCUAAAUACGUGCCAGCAGCAGCGGUAAUCUGAGCGGGCUGGCAAGGC
RNAcentral lists this ribosomal RNA (198 nucleotides) under uncultured bacterium. RNAcentral's name for it is "partial 16S ribosomal RNA". It matches the Rfam family "Bacterial small subunit ribosomal RNA", at positions 328 to 539 of the family's 1533-position model. The record is from RNAcentral.